GAUGAAGAACGCAGCGAAAUGCGAUAAGUAAUGUGAAUUGCAGAAUUCAGAGAAUCAUCGAAUCUUUGAACGCACCUUGCGCCCUUUGGCCAUUCCGAAGGGCAUGCCUGUUUGAGUAUCAUGAACACCUCAACUCUUUAUGGUUUUCCAUGAUGAGCUUGGACUCUGGGGGUUUUGCUGGCUCACAGUCGGCUCCUCUGAAAUGAAUCAGCUUACCAGUGUUUGGUGGGUAUCAUAGGUGUGAUAACUAUCUACGCUUGUGGUUUUUCCACCAGGUAACCUUCAGCAGUGGAGGUUCGCUGGAGCUCAUAGAUGUCUCUCCUCAGUGAGGACAGCCCUUUGAAUGUUUGAUCUCAAAUCAGGUAGGACUACCCGCUGAACUUAAGCAUAUCAAUAAGCGGAGGA
This 405-nucleotide unclassified non-coding RNA is filed under the name soil metagenome. RNAcentral's name for it is "partial contains 5.8S ribosomal RNA, internal transcribed spacer 2, and large subunit ribosomal RNA". The stretch from base 1 to 121 matches the Rfam family "5.8S ribosomal RNA", at positions 35 to 154 of the family's 154-position model. The record is from RNAcentral.